This 700-nucleotide ribosomal RNA is filed under the name Streptomyces violascens. Its description in RNAcentral is "bacterial SSU rRNA". It matches the Rfam family "Bacterial small subunit ribosomal RNA", at positions 32 to 746 of the family's 1533-position model. The record is from RNAcentral. Lineage: Bacteria; Bacillati; Actinomycetota; Actinomycetes; Kitasatosporales; Streptomycetaceae.
CCCCCCGGGGGGGGGUGCUUACACAUGCAAGUCGAACGAUGAACCGCUUUCGGGCGGGGAUUAGUGGCGAACGGGUGAGUAACACGUGGGCAAUCUGCCCUGCACUCUGGGACAAGCCCUGGAAACGGGGUCUAAUACCGGAUAUGACUGUCCAUCGCAUGGUGGAUGGUGUAAAGCUCCGGCGGUGCAGGAUGAGCCCGCGGCCUAUCAGCUUGUUGGUGAGGUAGUGGCUCACCAAGGCGACGACGGGUAGCCGGCCUGAGAGGGCGACCGGCCACACUGGGACUGAGACACGGCCCAGACUCCUACGGGAGGCAGCAGUGGGGAAUAUUGCACAAUGGGCGAAAGCCUGAUGCAGCGACGCCGCGUGAGGGAUGACGGCCUUCGGGUUGUAAACCUCUUUCAGCAGGGAAGAAGCGAAAGUGACGGUACCUGCAGAAGAAGCGCCGGCUAACUACGUGCCAGCAGCCGCGGUAAUACGUAGGGCGCAAGCGUUGUCCGGAAUUAUUGGGCGUAAAGAGCUCGUAGGCGGCUUGUCACGUCGGUUGUGAAAGCCCGGGGCUUAACCCCGGGUCUGCAGUCGAUACGGGCAGGCUAGAGUUCGGUAGGGGAGAUCGGAAUUCCUGGUGUAGCGGUGAAAUGCGCAGAUAUCAGGAGGAACACCGGUGGCGAAGGCGGAUCUCUGGGCCGAUACUGACGC